UACGGAGGGUGCAAGCGUUGCUCGGAAUUAUUGGGUGUAAAGGGUUCGUAGGCGGUGUGGCAAGUCGGGAGUGAAAUCUCUGGGCUCAACCCAGAGUCUGCUUCCGAAACUGCUGUGCUUGAGUGUGGGAGAGGCGCGUGGAAUUGCAGGUGUAGCGGUGAAAUGCGUAGAGAUCUGCAGGAACACCCGUGGCGAAAGCGGCGCGCUGGACCACUACUGACGCUGAGGAACGAAAGCUAGGGGAGCAAACAGG
RNAcentral lists this ribosomal RNA (253 nucleotides) under uncultured bacterium. RNAcentral's name for it is "partial 16S ribosomal RNA". It matches the Rfam family "Bacterial small subunit ribosomal RNA", at positions 524 to 776 of the family's 1533-position model. The record is from RNAcentral.